UACGAGGGGUCCAAGCGUUAUCCGGAAUUAUUGGGCGUAAAGGGUAUGUAGGCGGUUAUGUUAGUCGGGUGUCGAAUCUCUGGGCUCAACCCAGAGACAGCAUUCGAAACGGCAUGACUAGAGUAUGUUAGGGGUAAGCGGAACUCAUAGUGUAGGGGUGAAAUGCGCAGAUAUCAGGAGGAACACCGAUGGCGAAGGCAGGUCUCUGGGCCACUACUGACGCUGAGGAGCGAAAGCGUGGGGAGCGAACAGG
RNAcentral lists this ribosomal RNA (253 nucleotides) under uncultured bacterium. RNAcentral's name for it is "partial 16S ribosomal RNA". It matches the Rfam family "Bacterial small subunit ribosomal RNA", at positions 524 to 776 of the family's 1533-position model. The record is from RNAcentral.